Molecule: ribosomal RNA, 252 nt
Filed under: uncultured bacterium
Lineage: Bacteria
Description: partial 16S ribosomal RNA
Rfam family: Bacterial small subunit ribosomal RNA
Source: RNAcentral
GACAGAGGUCCCGAGCGUUAGGCGGAAUCACUGGGCUUAAAGCGUGUGUAGGCGGACUUGUAAGUACCUUGUGAAAUCCCACGGCUUAACCGUGGAACUGCUUGGUAUACUGCUUGUCUUGGCCAUCUAGGGGCUAGCGGAACAAACGGUGGAGCGGUGAAAUGCGUAGAUAUCAGGAGGAACACCGGUGGCGAAGGCGGGUCUCUGGGCCGAUACUGACGCUGAGGAGCGAAAGCGUGGGGAGCAAACAGG